GAGGGUGUAGCUAAGUGGUAGAGCGCAUGCUUAGCAUGCACGAGGUCCUGGGUUCUAUCUCCAGUAUUUCUA
This is a transfer RNA of Camelus ferus (Wild Bactrian camel), 72 nucleotides long. It matches the Rfam family "tRNA". Rfam says of the family: Transfer RNA (tRNA) molecules are approximately 80 nucleotides in length. Their secondary structure includes four short double-helical elements and three loops (D, anti-codon, and T loops). NCBI's taxonomy places the organism in Eukaryota, Metazoa, Chordata, Mammalia, Artiodactyla, Camelidae. The record is from Rfam.